AACGUGGAGUUAAUGAUAAAAUAGCUCUGAAGGUCGUUGGGAAAGACACAGACACAUAGGCUGAUUUUACAGAGAGAGAAAAGCUCUUGAGUGUGGUCUUGGUCGUGCUGAAGCAGUUGCUGAAGUACUUGACGGAAGAAAGACAUAAGCGUUGUAGCUUAGGAAUCUUUCAGUAGCGUGUGUUAGGGUGUUAACACUAGACGUGUAAAAGCUGAAUUAAGCAGAUCUUGUAAUAGAUU
Molecule: long non-coding RNA, 239 nt
Filed under: Brassica napus (rape)
Lineage: Eukaryota; Viridiplantae; Streptophyta; Magnoliopsida; Brassicales; Brassicaceae
Description: long non-coding RNA (BNAP_LNC024951)
Source: RNAcentral